RNAcentral lists this ribosomal RNA (253 nucleotides) under uncultured bacterium. RNAcentral describes it as "partial 16S ribosomal RNA". It matches the Rfam family "Bacterial small subunit ribosomal RNA", at positions 524 to 776 of the family's 1533-position model. The record is from RNAcentral.
UACGUAGGGUGCAAGCGUUGUCCGGAAUUAUUGGGCGUAAAGAGCUCGUAGGCGGUCUGUCGCGUCGGCUGUGAAAACCCGGGGCUCAACCCCGGGACUGCAGUCGAUACGGGCAGACUAGAGUGCGGUAGAGGAGACUGGAAUUCCUGGUGUAGCGGUGAAAUGCGCAGAUAUCAGGAAGAACACCCGUGGCUAAGGCGGCUCUCUAGUACGGUACUGACGCUGAGACGCGAAAGCGUGGGGAGCGAACAGG